UACAGAGGUCUCAAGCGUUGUUCGGAUUCAUUGGGCGUAAAGGGUGCGCAGGCGGCCAUGUGUGUGAGGCGUGAAAGCCUGGAGCUUAACUCCAGAAUUGCACCUCAAACUACAUGGCUAGAGCAUUGGAGAGGGUAGCAGAAUUCAUGGUGUAGCAGUGAAAUGCGUAGAUAUUCGGAAGAACACCAGUGGCGAAGGCGAACUUACUGGACACAGUAUUGACGCUGAGGUGCGAAAGCGUGGGGAGCAAACAGGG
This 256-nucleotide ribosomal RNA is filed under the name uncultured bacterium. RNAcentral describes it as "partial 16S ribosomal RNA". It matches the Rfam family "Bacterial small subunit ribosomal RNA", at positions 524 to 777 of the family's 1533-position model. The record is from RNAcentral.